This 163-nucleotide ribosomal RNA is filed under the name Psittacanthus robustus. RNAcentral's name for it is "5.8S ribosomal RNA". It matches the Rfam family "5.8S ribosomal RNA". Rfam says of the family: 5.8S ribosomal RNA (5.8S rRNA) is a component of the large subunit of the eukaryotic ribosome. It is transcribed by RNA polymerase I as part of the 45S precursor that also contains 18S and 28S rRNA. Functionally, it is thought that 5.8S rRNA may be involved in ribosome translocation. Lineage: Eukaryota; Viridiplantae; Streptophyta; Magnoliopsida; Santalales; Loranthaceae. The record is from RNAcentral.
AUAACGACUCUCGGCAACGGAUAUCUCGGCUCUCGCAUCGAUGAAGAACGCAGCGAAAUGCGAUACCUGGUGUGAAUUGCAGAAUCCCGUGAAUCAUCGAGUCUUUGAACGCAAGUUGCGCCCGAGGACAUCUGGUCUAGGGCACGCCUGCCUGGGCGUCACA